UCUUCAGGGGCAGGGUGAAAUUCCCGACCGGUGGUAUAGUCCACGACCCGUCGUACUGCGGCGGUUGAAUCGGUGCAAUUCCGAUACCGACAGUAAAGUCUGGAUAAAGAAGA
RNAcentral lists this non-coding RNA (113 nucleotides) under Enterococcus diestrammenae. RNAcentral describes it as "FMN riboswitch (RFN element)". It matches the Rfam family "FMN riboswitch aptamer (RFN element)". From Rfam's summary of the family: The RFN element is a highly conserved domain that is found frequently in the 5'-untranslated regions of prokaryotic mRNAs that encode for flavin mononucleotide (FMN) biosynthesis and transport proteins. This element is a metabolite-dependent riboswitch that directly binds FMN in the absence of proteins. The record is from RNAcentral. Lineage: Bacteria; Bacillati; Bacillota; Bacilli; Lactobacillales; Enterococcaceae.